UUCAUCUUUGUCAAGUGUUUCAUCAAUUGCCUCUGACAUCAUCUCUAUCUGUAAACACACAACAUUAUAAACAAACCAAACAUCUCACCAAAUAACAUGUGGGGGAUGGAUGUAUCACUUACCGUCAUGUCUAGCUGUGCAGACUGUUUCUGGAAAUCCUUAAUCACUUUGGCUUGUUUCGUUGGUGCCAUUUGCUGAAAAUACAAGUCAUAGCUUUGGUUGCACCCUUCAUACCAGAAGAAAUGGAAGUGCUGGCAUACAAAGCCUAACCAACGCGAACAGAGAUUUAGCUCAGGACUUUUAUAAUAGAACUUAGCUUAGCUGAUGUCGAAUGUAGAGAAAGUAAACCUGUGUGUGAGUGGUGACACCCCUAAUUUGAGCACGGCUUCCCUGUAAGUUUGUAAUCUGUUGCCUCAAUCGAACUAGUUGACGUGCUAAAA
Brassica rapa (field mustard) is the source of this 440-nucleotide long non-coding RNA. RefSeq lists it as uncharacterized. The record is from RefSeq and is a predicted model, not a curated record. NCBI's taxonomy places the organism in Eukaryota, Viridiplantae, Streptophyta, Magnoliopsida, Brassicales, Brassicaceae.